CCUACGGGAGGCAGCAGUGAGGAAUUUUCCGCAAUGGGCUAACGCCUGACGGAGCAAUGCCGCGUGGAGGAGGGAGGCCUGUGGGUCGUAAACUCCUUUUCUCAGAGAAGAAGAUCUGACGGUAUCUGAGGAAUAAGCAUCGGCUAACUCUGUGCCAGCAGCCGCGGUAAUACAGGGGAUGCAAGCGUUAUCCGGAAUUAUUGGGCGUAAAGCGUCCUGAGGUGGCUUACCCAGUCGACUGUGAAAGCUCAAGGCUCAACCUUGAAACGGCAGUCGAAACUUGUAAGCUUGAGUACGGUAGAGGCAGAGGGAAUUCCCGGAGGAGAGGUGAAAUUCGUAGAUAUCGGGAGGAAGGCCAAAGGCGAAAGCACUCUGCUGGGCCGAUUACUGACACUGACAGACGAAAGCUAGGGGAGCGAAAGGGAUUAGAUACCCCUGUAGUCCUAGCCGUAAACGAUGGAUACUAAAGUGUUGCGCGACUCAACUCGUGCAGUGCUGCAGCUAACGCGGUAAGUAUCCCGCCUGGGGAGUAUGCUCGCAAGAGUGAAAACUUCAAAAUUGAAGUUAGAGGCGNGAACGAGACGACGGACGACGACGAGGGAGGAGG
RNAcentral lists this ribosomal RNA (607 nucleotides) under uncultured bacterium. RNAcentral's name for it is "bacterial SSU rRNA". It matches the Rfam family "Bacterial small subunit ribosomal RNA", at positions 338 to 954 of the family's 1533-position model. The record is from RNAcentral.